GAUAGCUGGGACUACAGGUGCCCGCCACCACGCCCGGCUAAUUUUUUUGUAUUUUUAGUAGAGACGGGGUUUCGCCAUGUUAGCCAGGAUGGUCUCAAUCUGACCUCGUGAUCCGCCCACCUCGGCCUCCCAAAGUGGUGGGAUUACAGGUGUGAGCCACCUCCCCGGCUGGUGCUACACACUUUUAAAUGACCGGAUCUGUGAACUCAGAGCAAGAGCUCUCCUAUCACCAAAGGAAUGGCUCAAGCCAUUCAUGAAGAUCUGCCCCCACGAUCCAAACACUUCCCACUAGGCCCCAUCUCCAGCACUGAGGAUUCCAUCUCAACAUGACAUCUGAGCUCAUAAGCAGAAGGGACUCACCUUAUCUCAGAUAAGACGCUGGACUUGGACUUUUGUUAAUGCUGGAAUGAGUUAAGCCUUUGGGUUACUGUUGAGAAGGGAUAAUUGUAUUUUAAAAUGUGAGAAGGACAUGAGAUUUGGGAGGGGUCGGGGCAAAAUGAUAUUGUUUGUUUCUGUGUCCCCAACCAAAUCUCAUGUUGAAUUGUAAUCCCCAUGUGUCAGGGCUGGGACCUGGAGGGAGGAGAUCAGAUCAUGGGAGCAGAUUCCCCCAUGCUGCUCUUGUGAUAGUGAGUGAGUUUUCACAAGUUCUGAUGAUUUAAAAAUGUGGCACUUCCCCCGCUCUCUUCUGCUGCCUUGUGAAGAAGGUGCUUGCUUCUCCUUCACCUUCUGUCAUGAUUGUAAGUUUCCUGAGGCCACCCUAGCCAAGCAGAAAUGUGAGUCAAUUAAAUAUAUUUUCGUUAUAAAUUACCCAUUCUCAGAUAGUUCUUUAUAGCAGUGUGAAAACAGACUAAUGCAAUCAUUAUCAAGUAUUCUGUACUGUAUGUAAUUGAAUGUGACAUCACUUUUGUACAACUGGCAAUACAAUAAGCUUGAUUUCACUAACAUCACCACAAAAAUGUGAGUUUUUCAUUGUAUUGUGAUGUUACAAUGUCUACGAUGUCACUAGGCUAUAAGGACAUUUUAGGUCCAUUGAAAUCUUAUGGGGCCACCAUCGUAUAUGUGUUCAAUCACUAAUUGAACGUUUUUAUAUGGCAUAUGACUGUAUAGGUCAAACAUUAUCAAAUUGUAUACCUUAAAUAUGUGUAGUUUAUUGUAUUUCAAUUUUAUCUCAAUAAAACCACUUUAAAAUAUCCAUACUGUAAGGACUCAUCACCCCAUAACAAAACAAUGUUUCAAGAAUUAUGUAGAACAGUUUAUUUUUAAAAACCCACCAUCAUACAGAAAAAAAGAAAUCCAUACAGUAUAAAAAGAGUCUUCUCUCUUGAUCAUACUUAUGGCCAAGUUAUCAUCAGUUGUUUUUAUGGGGUACAUUUUUGUCUAAGUGUGCCACAUAUUAUGCUUACACAAAGAUAUCUGGUUUGUGGGACAACUCAUCUGUCCAUUUAUAGUUCUUAAUAAUCAUCUGCACUGUAACAAAAAGUAAUCCUAGUAAUGCUUAGUACAUUUCUCUUAAUAGUGAACAAAUGUCAACAAAAUUUACAUUCAAGGUAAUAUUGCUCCUUUGUCCUAUGGAAUAUGUACUGAGAAAAAAUAUGGAUUUCCAGCUAUCACCCUAUAUAAAUGAAAAGUUGUAGGCUCAUAAGUUAUUCAAAUUUCAAUUAUUCCCCCAUAAAAUAAAUGACUAGUCAUAAACAAAUUCAAAUAUUUAGCUCAAAUUUUUUGAUUACAUUAAUUUAUAUAAUAAAACACACCAAUUAAAAAUGAUUUUGGACAACAAAACUCGAGAUAGUCUUAAGCUAAAUAACAGAUUACAUUACUUUAUAUACAGCAUCUUCUUAUUUUUGUGAAUUUAUAUAUGUCAAAAUGAUGCACAGAUUAUUAUUCUGUAUCUAAUUAUGUAGUCUAAAUAUUUUAAAAUUUGGCUAAAAUACAGGAAAAAGUGACCAGUUUCUCAUAAAUGUGUUUAAUGUGUACUUCCUAAUAGCCUUGGUUUCUUAUAUUAUCAAAGCUCUUAUACAUCGACAAGUAGAUAAAUGUAGAACCCAGUAUACACUUAUAACAUGACUGCAGAGGGCCUAGAAAGUUGUCUCCUAUACUAAAAAUCAUGAAACAUAAUAAUAACAGCAACAGCAGUGGCAAAAACAUAUUGCUAUCUCCACAUCACCAACCUUCUAUCCACUAUGAAUUGUUCAUGUAACUUGAUUCUAUAGCAUUUACUUCUAUCAACAAGUAAUUAACAAAGAGGAAAAUUUUUCUCAUUUUAAAAUAAAAAUAAUUUUCAGAAGAGUUACAUGUCAUUAAAACAAUUGUAUAAUAUAGUUUAUCCAAUUACACUUAUUGAAACAUUUAGUGGGUACUCACUCUAUGCAUGCCACUAUGCUGGGGCCAGAGAUACGAGGAUAAAUAUGUUGCAUUUUUUGCCCUUAAAGUUAUUAUGAUCUUCUAUAGGAAAUAGAGAAAAAUUGAUCAAUUAUUAUAUACAGCAGCAGUCUCCAACCUUUUUGUCAUCAGGGACCAGUUUGUAGAAGAUAAUUUUUCCAUGGACCAAGGCAUAGAUGGUUUGGGGAUAAAACAGUGCCACCUCAGAUCAUCAGGCAUUAGAUUCUCAUAAGGAGUGUGCAACCUAGAUCCCGCACAUCUGUGGUUCACAAUAGUGUUGUUAGAGCUCCUAUGAGAAUCUAAUGCAGCUACUGAUCUGACAGGAGGCGGAGCUUAGGCGGUAAUGCUGUCUAACCCACUGCUCACCUCCCACUGUGUGGCCCAGUCACCAACUGGUACCAGGGGUUUAGGGACCCCUGAUAUAUGGCGUUUGCAAGUAGUAUAAAAAUACACAUGAUAGCCCUUUACCCAAGAUAGUGUGCUAGUGUGUGUGUGUGUGUGAGUGUGUGUGUGUAUGUGUGUGUGUGUGAGAGAGAGGAUAGAAUUAGAAAUGAGAACAGGUUCAGGGGAGGCCUCUUCAAGAAUAAGUGAGAUUGCUCUUGAAAUAAAUUUUGAAGGAUAACUAAGAGUUGAUGAAGCAAAGGAAGGUAGGCCAGUAUUCACAUGCUAGGAAACAACCCAUUUAGAGGCUCAAGGAAAGCUUGCACAUUCAGGAGCCUGCAAAUUGUUGACUAUGACUAGAAUGUAGAGUGUAAAGAAGAAAGUGGCAGUAGAGAGAAAUAAAGGUGAGAUGCAGAGAAUUAAAAUCAUCAUGACCUUGUAUUGUGUGUUAAAAAGUUAAGACAUCAUCCUGAUCAUAUUUUUUCCCUCUAAUAAUUUUAGCUAAGAGUAGUCAUUACGAAAAAGAAGACUUUUAUGACUUUUAUGGGGAGAAUGAGGACAGCACUAACAUUUAUUGAAGACCUGUUUUGUCUGAUGGUUAGGAAGAGUCUGACUCCAUGUUUUAUAUUUGACUGCACAGCAUUUAGGCUCCUACCCUGCCCUGCCCAAACACUAUAUAUCUGGUACUAUAGACAAAUAAACCUGCAUGCCUUUUGAGAUUUUGGGUCCUGUGGAAAUUUGAACUUCACAGCCCCAGACUGAAUGUGAGAACUCCUCUCCAGCCCCACUCUCUCGCCAUUACAAAAGUCAAACCAACUCUCUGCUCAUUGUUCUUGCCGUUCUAGCCAGAUCAGCUUGCAGUUACCUUGCUCUAUGUACAAUUUCCUGAUGUGAAUAAUAAACUCCUUGCAAAUUAUCAAGGUGUGUGAAGUGUCGUCAGUCUGGAUAUGUGGCCUAUUAACUG
This 3724-nucleotide long non-coding RNA is filed under the name Homo sapiens (human). RNAcentral describes it as "HSALNT0284233". The record is from RNAcentral. Lineage: Eukaryota; Metazoa; Chordata; Mammalia; Primates; Hominidae.